UACGGAGGGUGCAAGCGUUGUCCGGAAUCACUGGGCGUAAAGGGCGCGUAGGCGGCUCAUGAAGGCUGCGGUGAAAGCCCGGGGCUCAACCCCGGGUCGGCCGUGGCAACUGCUGGGCUGGAGCACAGUAGAGGCGGGUGGAAUUCCGGGUGUAGCGGUGGAAUGCGUAGAGAUCCGGAAGAACACCGGUGGCGAAGGCGGCCCGCUGGGCUGUUGCUGACGCUGAGGCGCGACAGCGUGGGGAGCAAACAGG
This 253-nucleotide ribosomal RNA is filed under the name uncultured bacterium. RNAcentral describes it as "partial 16S ribosomal RNA". It matches the Rfam family "Bacterial small subunit ribosomal RNA", at positions 524 to 776 of the family's 1533-position model. The record is from RNAcentral.